CCGGGGCCCUAAACAAGCCCCGGCGCGACUGGUCGGGGUGAUUAUUGGGCCUAAAGCGGCCGUAGCCGGCCCGGUAAGUCCCCCUGAAAGUCUCGGGCUCAACCCGAGAAGCGGGGGGAUACUGCCGGGCUAGGGGGCGGGAGAGGCCGAGGGUACUCCCGGGGUAGGGGCGAAAUCCUAUAAUCCCGGGAGGACCACCAGUGGCGAAGGCGCUCGGCUGGAACGCGCCCGACGGUGAGGGCCGAAAGCCGGGGGAGCGAACCGGAUUAGAUACCCGGGUAGUCCCGGCUGUAAACGAUGCGGGCUAGGUGUUGGGCGGGCGAGAGAGCCCGCCCAGUGCCGCAGGGAAGCCGUUAAGCCCGCCGCCUGGGGAGUACGGCCGCAAACCUGGUUAGGGCUUAGAGCCCUACCGGGGCGGAAGGCUGAAACUUAAAGGAAAGGGAGGCUGGAAGCUGGGUGCAAAGGCUUAAAUAGCUCUUUUAGGCUUCUAAGUUCCAUCUUUACCCUCUUUAUCUGUCUACCCAGCUUCCACUUCCCCCUGAAUUGGCGGGGGAGCACACAAGGGGUGGAGCCUGCGGCUUAAUUGGAGUCAACGCCGGGAAUCUUACCGGGGGCGACAGCAGGAUGACGGCCAGGCUAAAGGCCUUGCCCGACGCGCUGAGGGGAGGUGCAUGGCCGUCGCCAGACACAGUCAUGGCUCCCGUAGUGUUUUCAAAGCUCGCGUCAUAAAGGUUACUUUUAAUAGAAUCCAUUCGAUGGAAUUGGAAGAUGGAAUUGGAAGAUGGAAUUGAAGGUGAUAAGAUUAUGGGAGCCACGAUGUGGGCGAGCUCGUGCCGUGAGGUGUCCUGUUAAGUCAGGCAACGAGCGAGACCCCUGCCCCUAGUUGCUACCCC
This 893-nucleotide ribosomal RNA is filed under the name hot springs metagenome. RNAcentral describes it as "bacterial SSU rRNA". It matches the Rfam family "Archaeal small subunit ribosomal RNA", at positions 459 to 1073 of the family's 1478-position model. The record is from RNAcentral.